UCCAUUGUGAAGUGGAAUCUGAAGGAAGUCGGACGCAAACACUCGCACUGACGAACAGAAAUAUCAUAUAAGGCUAUGUAGAAUGGACGAAUCUGCAAUUCAAGAUAAAGU
Molecule: non-coding RNA, 111 nt
Organism: Staphylococcus microti
Lineage: Bacteria; Bacillati; Bacillota; Bacilli; Caryophanales; Staphylococcaceae
Source: Rfam